UCUCCUGGAGGACGACUGCUCCUCCUCACAGGAAGAGGAGGAAGAAGAGGAGGAAGAAGAGGAGGAAGAAGAGGAGGAGGAGCAGCAAAGUGAGGAUGCUCAGAUGGACAGAAAGGAGAGGAAGAAGAUGGUGAAGGAGGCUCAGCGAGAGAAACGUCGAACCAAAGUACCCAAGCACGUGAAGAAGAGGAAGGAGAAGGUGGCCAAGACGAAGAAGGGCAGAUGAUGAGUGCCUCCUGCCUCAACCUCCACCUAACAGCCAAUCACCAGCGAGCAGAGCUGAGAGCCGCUGCAAGUGAACUUUAUGAACAACAGAAACUUUAUUUGUACAAAUUAACAGAAUAAAGAUUUUUUUCCCAUGA
This is a non-coding RNA of Maylandia zebra (zebra mbuna), 362 nucleotides long. The record is from RefSeq and is a predicted model, not a curated record. Lineage: Eukaryota; Metazoa; Chordata; Actinopteri; Cichliformes; Cichlidae.